GCGGGCGAGGGGUGGGAACCAGGGAUUCAGCUUCCCAAGCUGAAUGUCGUGGGUUCGAUUCCCAUCGCCCGCUCCA
RNAcentral lists this transfer RNA (76 nucleotides) under Microvirga sp. VF16. RNAcentral describes it as "tRNA-Gly". It matches the Rfam family "tRNA". Rfam says of the family: Transfer RNA (tRNA) molecules are approximately 80 nucleotides in length. Lineage: Bacteria; Pseudomonadati; Pseudomonadota; Alphaproteobacteria; Hyphomicrobiales; Methylobacteriaceae. The record is from RNAcentral.